GACGAACGCUGGCGGCGCGCUUAACACAUGCAAGUCGAACGGAAAGGCCUGCUUUCCCUUGUGGAUUGCGGGUACUCGCGUGGCGAACGGGUGAGUAACACGUGAGUUAUCUGCCCCCAACUUGGGUAUAAGCCUGGGAAACUGGGUCUAAUUCCCGAUAGGACUGCAGGGUGGUGCCUGUGGUGGAAAACGAUUUUCUAGUGGUUGGGGAUGAGCUCGCGGCCUAUCAGCUUGUUGGUUGGGUAAUGGCCUACCAAGGCGGCGACGGGUAGCCGGCCUGGGAGGGCGGACGGCCACAUUGGGACUGAGAUACGGCCCAGACGCCUACGGGCGGCAGCAGUGGGGAAUAAUGCACAAUGGGCGGAAGCCUGAUGCAGCGAGGCCGCGUGGGGGAUGACGGGCUUGGGGUUGUAAACUCCUUUCGGCCGCGAGGAAGCCACCUGGUUGGAAGGGUGGUGACGGUAGUGGUAGAAGAAGCACCGGCUAACUACGUG
This 494-nucleotide ribosomal RNA is filed under the name uncultured bacterium. Its description in RNAcentral is "partial 16S ribosomal RNA". It matches the Rfam family "Bacterial small subunit ribosomal RNA", at positions 28 to 507 of the family's 1533-position model. The record is from RNAcentral.